This 465-nucleotide ribosomal RNA is filed under the name Vreelandella stevensii. RNAcentral describes it as "partial 16S ribosomal RNA". It matches the Rfam family "Bacterial small subunit ribosomal RNA", at positions 338 to 795 of the family's 1533-position model. Lineage: Bacteria; Pseudomonadati; Pseudomonadota; Gammaproteobacteria; Oceanospirillales; Halomonadaceae. The record is from RNAcentral.
CCUACGGGGGGCAGCAGUGGGGAAUAUUGGACAAUGGGGGCAACCCUGAUCCAGCCAUGCCGCGUGUGUGAAGAAGGCCCUCGGGUUGUAAAGCACUUCCAGUGAGGAAGAACGCCUGGUGGUUAAUACCCAUCAGGAAAGACAUCACUCACAGAAGAAGCACCGGCUAACUCCGUGCCAGCAGCCGCGGUAAUACGGAGGGUGCGAGCGUUAAUCGGAAUUACUGGGCGUAAAGCGCGCGUAGGUGGCUUGAUAAGCCGGUUGUGAAAGCCCCGGGCUCAACCUGGGAACGGCAUCCGGAACUGUCAAGCUAGAGUGCAGGAGAGGAAGGUAGAAUUCCCGGUGUAGCGGUGAAAUGCGUAGAGAUCGGGAGGAAUACCAGUGGCGAAGGCGGCCUUCUGGACUGACACUGACACUGAGGUGCGAAAGCGUGGGUAGCAAACAGGAUUAGAUACCCCUGUAGUA